GACGAACGCUGGCGGCGUGCUUAACACAUGCAAGUCGAGCGGUAAGGCCUCUUCGGGGGUACACGAGCGGCGAACGGGUGAGUAACACGUGGGUGACCUGCCCUCAGCUCUGGGAUAAGCCUGGGAAACUGGGUCCAAUACCGGAUAUGACCUUUCCUCGCAUGGGGUUUGGUGGAAAGUUUUUUCGGCUGGGGAUGGGCCCGCGGCCUAUCAGCUUGUUGGUGGGGUGAUGGCCUACCAAGGCGACGACGGGUAGCCGGCCUGAGAGGGCGACCGGCCACACUGGGACUGAGACACGGCCCAGACUCCUACGGGAGGCAGCAGUGGGGAAUAUUGCGCAAUGGGCGGAAGCCUGACGCAGCGACGCCGCGUGGGGGAUGACGGCCUUCGGGUUGUAAACCUCUUUCGACCCCGACGAAUUUGGACGGUAGGGGUAGAAGAAGCACCGGCCAACCACGUG
Molecule: ribosomal RNA, 460 nt
Filed under: uncultured bacterium
Lineage: Bacteria
Description: partial 16S ribosomal RNA
Rfam family: Bacterial small subunit ribosomal RNA
Source: RNAcentral